RNAcentral lists this ribosomal RNA (492 nucleotides) under uncultured bacterium. Its description in RNAcentral is "partial 16S ribosomal RNA". It matches the Rfam family "Bacterial small subunit ribosomal RNA", at positions 29 to 507 of the family's 1533-position model. The record is from RNAcentral.
AGUGAACGCUGGCGGUAGGCCUAACACAUGCAAGUCGAACGGCAGCACAGUAAGAGCUUGCUCUUACGGGUGGCGAGUGGCGGACGAGUGAGGAAUACAUCGGAAUCUACUUUUUCGUGGGGGAUAACGUAGGGAAACUUACGCUAAUACCGCAUACGACCUACGGGUGAAAGCAGGGGAUCUUCGGACCUUGCGCAAUUGAAUGAGCCGAUGUCGGAUUAGCUAGUUGGCGGGGUAAAGGCCCACCAAGGCGACGAUCCGUAGCUGGUCUGAGAGGAUGAUCAGCCACACUGGAACUGAGACACGGUCCAGACUCCUACGGGAGGCAGCAGUGGGGAAUAUUGGACAAUGGGCGCAAGCCUGAUCCAGCCAUACCGCGUGGGUGAAGAAGGCCUUCGGGUUGUAAAGCCCUUUUGUUGGGAAAGAAAAGCAGCAGGUUAAUACCCCGCUGUUCCGACGGUACCCAAAGAAUAAGCACCGGCUAACUUCGUG